AUUCCUGGGCUGCAAGAGUUGUUCAACAUCUGCAAAUCAAUCAAUGUGAGAGAUCACAUCAAUAAAACGAAGGACAAGAACUAUAUGAUCCUCUCAAUAGACGCAGAAAAAGCACAUGACCAAGUACAGCACCCUUUCUUGAUGAAAACUCCACAGGGUAGGGAUAGAGGGAAAGUGAAAAGACAACACUGAAGGUUCAAACAGGAGUGGACUCAGGUAGGGGAUCCCAGGCAGUGAGGUCACUUCUUUGACCACAGAGCCCAACAGAACUUGGAACCCCUGCAACCAGGCACCCACAUUCUACUGCAGCCUCACAUCAGGCUCACUUGGCUGGAGACAUCUGCUACUGAAAGAUGUUCUAUUGCUGCCUGCUGACUUCCCAGGGCUCUGGCUUCCAGAAAACCCAGGGUCUUGGCUCUUUCACGCUGUAGACUUUGGUUUCUCCAUCACACACCAUGCCUCAGGGCGUUUGCCAGGAGGCGCCCUACGGUAAUACAGAGCAGCUCAGGCCAGGCCUUAGAAAAAAAUAUACAUCCCCGUCUAGACAGCAGAAAUUGCUUGCUGUGCAGCUGGAUUCACUUUGAAAGGAUUAUGAUGUCACACCUUGCCAUGGUGACGAGAAAUAUACCUCUGUCUCUCUUCCCAAUUGUCACUGUUUGAGCUGAGUAGCUCAAAGUUGAUAUUGAGGGAGUUGUCAGCUCUCUACCUAGCAUCUUUGAAAAUGGGCCAAUUCUAUUAUUGCUGCUGUGAAGAGCUGAAACAAACACUCCUACUUUGUAUGGAACCAGAAAAGACCCUGAAUAGCCAAAGUAAUGUUGAAAAAGAAAACCAAAACUGGAGGCAUCACAAUUCUGGACUUCAAACUGUAUCACAAAGCUGCAGUCAUCAAGACAAUAUGGUACUGACACAAAAAUAGACAUACAGAUCAAUGGAACAGAAUAGAAAACCCAGAAAUGGACCCUCAAUUGAUCUUCGACAAAGCUGGAAAGAAUAUCCAAUGGAAAAA
Molecule: long non-coding RNA, 1006 nt
Organism: Canis lupus familiaris (dog)
Lineage: Eukaryota; Metazoa; Chordata; Mammalia; Carnivora; Canidae
Exons: 3
Source: RefSeq, a predicted model, not a curated record